Molecule: ribosomal RNA, 510 nt
Filed under: uncultured bacterium
Lineage: Bacteria
Description: partial 16S ribosomal RNA
Rfam family: Bacterial small subunit ribosomal RNA
Source: RNAcentral
GACGAACGCUGGCGGCGUGCUUAACACAUGCAAGUCGAACGAAGAGCGAUGGAAGCUUGCUUCUAUCAAUCUUAGUGGCGAACGGGUGGGUAACGCGUAAUCAACCUGCCCUUCAGAGGGGGACAACAGUUGGAAACGACUGCUAAUACCGCAUACGAUCUAAUCUCGGCAUCGAGGAAAGAUGAAAGGUGGCCUCUAUUUAUAAGCUAUCACUGAAGGAGGGGAUUGCGUCUGAUUAGCUAGUUGGAGGGGUAACGGCCCACCAAGGCGAUGAUCAGUAGCCGGUCUGAGAGGAUGAACGGCCACAUUGGGACUGAGACACGGCCCAGACUCCUACGGGAGGCAGCAGUGGGGAAUCUUCCGCAAUGGACGAAAGUCUGACGGAGCAACGCCGCGUGAGUGAUGACGGCCUUCGGGUUGUAAAGCUCUGUUAAUCGGGACGAAAGGCCUUCUUGCGAACAGUUAGAAGGAUUGACGGUACCGGAAUAGAAAGCCACGGCUAACUACGUG